This 253-nucleotide ribosomal RNA is filed under the name uncultured bacterium. RNAcentral's name for it is "partial 16S ribosomal RNA". It matches the Rfam family "Bacterial small subunit ribosomal RNA", at positions 524 to 776 of the family's 1533-position model. The record is from RNAcentral.
UACAGAGGUCCCAAGCGUUGUUCGGAUUCACUGGGCGUAAAGCGUCUGUAGGUGGCUUUUUAAGUCUGCCGUCAAAUCCCAGGGCUUAACCCUGGACAGGCGGUGGAAACUACCAAGCUGGAGUACGGUAGGGGCAGGGGGAAUUUCCGGUGGAGCGGUGAAAUGCGUAGAGAUCGGAAAGAACACCAACGGCGAAAGCACUCUGCUGGGCCGACACUGACACUGAGAGACGAAAGCUAGGGGAGCGAAUGGG